CCUUUCUCCAAACAACGUUGCCACACGCGGAGAGCACGGAGAUUUCUGGGGCUUUGGAGGGAAUCGUGAGCGGGCGGGAGGAGGCCGGGGACCACACAGAGAAUAACUUGUCUGACUACCAGUAUUCUUGGAUGCAGAAGUGCUGAAGAUGAGCACACACACGUACGGAGAAUUUCUGGAGAAUUCAGCUGCUCAGAACAAGAACUGAGAUCCAGAGAGAUGAUGACUUUGCCCAUAGACCAAACAAAGAAAUACAUGUUUCAGUCCUGUGUCCUCCUGCUAUGUGUGUCCGGAAUUGGUGGGUUCUUGGUCUCACUGACUUCAAGAAUGAAGCUGCGGACCCUCGCGGACCGUGUGUGAAUGCCUGCUCUGUGAGCCCUCAGAAUCUACUGGCUGAAUGAGUGCGUGGAGGAAAUGUGCUCAGAGCUGCUGUGUGUCAUCCUGUGUUUGAAGUGCUCCUGCAGCUAUCAUUCAUCCAGUUAAGAAUUUGAAGAAGUGUGUGCACAAAGACGGAGUCUCACUCUGUUGCCCAGGCUGGAGUGCAGUGGCACAAUCUCGGCUCACUGCAACCUCUACCUCCUGGAUUCAAGCGGUUUUCCUGCCUCAGCCUCCAGAGUAACAGGGAUUACAGGCAUACUCCACCUUGCCCUGCUGAUUUUGUAUUUUUAGUAGAGACAAGAGUUUCACCAUGUUGGCCAGGCUGGUCUUGAACUCCUGACCUCAAGUGAUCCACUGCCUCAGCCUCCCAAAGUGCUGGGAUUAUAGGCGUGAGCCACUGCGCCUGGCCAAAUGCUCUACUUUUUAAUCAAUGUUUUCCAAAAUAGGGAUUUUUGCUAUGUGCUUUAGAAAUUAGAGAACAAACGGUGAUAAUAUAUGCUAAACUUAAAAUUAGUAUGCCUCCUUUUAUAGACAACAAGAACUUUGUCACUUCCCAGUUUGUCUUGUCAUUCAGGAGGCUCAGAGCUACGAUCUGUGCCCACUCGUGCUGCCUCUUCUUAACUUUGAUUUCCUGAAGCAGCGAUUUCAUCUCCGUUUCCCCUCAUCACCUGUUCUUUUAACUGUUUAAAAACAGCAUUACAUGUUGUUGCAAGUGGCCUCAAAUUCUUUUUGGUAGAAGGGAAAUUGUAAUCCAUGAGAAGAAAAAAAUUUUCCUAACUAUUCUCAGGUGUGUUUAAGGGCUGCAUUCCAUGAUGCUAUCAGUGCCUUCUUUCAGCUCACAGGAUAUCGGCCAUGUUAAUGAGUCUGAUGUUGCUAGUAUCACAGGCACCGGAAAAUAUGCACAUUAUGCUGGAGCAUUAGAAUGCAACAGAAAGAGCCCUGGGCUUGGAGUAUGCAGAACUGGUUCUUGUUACAACUCCUCUUACUAGUGGGCUCUGGAAGAAAACACAUUGAAUUCAUGAUCAUGGUUAACCUUUGGAGAGAGAGAGGAGACCAGGAUGAAGGAGCCAGUCGAAGAUCCUGUUCAAGUGUACACUGAGCCAGCAGGUUCACCAGAAAGCUAUUGAGCGUUUGCUGGAACACAUUAUGCAGGGUGAAUUUCUUCUGGAAUGUUGCCAAGGAUUUUUUAUGCUUCUGUGGCAGGCAUUUCUUGAACAUUGUCAUUUAGCCAAGCAAAGAAGAUUUUCUUAAAGGAUAGAAAAUGUUUAAAAAUUUUUGUUUGUUUGAAGAUAGGUUAAAUGGCUAUAUGAUCUCAGGAUAAGACAGAGAAAAUCACUUAUUUCUCUAAGUGAUCUGAUUAGGUUAGUGAUGUUUUGCCUUUAAACAGAUUCAUCAUUAUUCCUAAAGUAUUGCUGUAUUAAUACUGUCUUCUAGAAAGUAUCCACCAGUGCCUACUUUUCUUCGAUAUCAUUAGCUGUUUUUCGAAACUGAAUUUGCUCUUCAGAGAUUUCUCAUAUGUUUGCGUAUAAGGAACUACUGGUAAUAGCCAAGAAAAUUUGGAGGUGCAGAGAACAUGCUGAAACAGAAUUUUUCACUUUCAAUUCUAGAACUAUGCCAUAAAAAAAAAGGAAAAUGUAAAAAUGUCUUUAUAUUAGAGCAGAUAUUUUAAAAGUAUUGCAAAUUCAAUGAUAAAUUCUAAGGUUAAAAUUGGACACAUAAAAAAUACAAUAUAUAAAUAUCUCCCCAGAAAUUAUUAUCUAAUGAAUAGUAAAAGCUGACUACAAACCAUGUCAUUUUAACAAGGGUUUAAAUAGUACCAAGAUUCUCAUCAUAUGCUCUGGGAUACCCAGUGAUGUACAAGGGUUCUCUCUAAACAUGGGGAGGAAAAAUUUCAAAUAUAAAGAUUUGAAUCUUGUCUUUGCCAUUCACUAGCUGUGUGAUCUUGGGUAAGUUACCUGGUUUCUCUGAGCUUCAGUGUCAUCUGUAAAACAGGAAUAAUAAUACCUAGCUCAGAGGCGGGUGUGGUGGCUCACGCCUGUAAUCCCAGCACUUUGGGAGGCCAAGGCAGGUGGAUCACUAGGUCAGGAGUUUGAGACCAGCCUGGCCAAGAUGGUGAAAUCCUGUCUCUACUUAAAAAAAAAAAAAAAUAGCCAGGCAUGGUGGCAGGCACCUGUGAUCCCAGCUACUCAGGAGGCUGAGGCAGGAGAAUCGCUUGAACCCGGGAGGCGGAGGUUGCAGUCAGCUGAGAUCUCGCCACUGCACUCCAGCCUGGGCAAUAGAGUGAGACUCCGCCUCAAAUAAAUAGGUAAAUAAAUAAAUAAAUAAAUAAAAGUAAAUAAAUAAAUAAAUAAAUAAUAAUACCUAGCUUAUGGGGCUGCUGUGGGUGUUUGUAAAGUAUCUCAAUGGUGCCUACAUAUUGUAAAGGCUUAUGAAUAUAUUAGUUCCUUUCUCAACUUCCUCAAUUCAUUCCACCACUACAAGUCAAUCUAGAGAUUAAAAUAGGCAAAACUGUGAUCUACGUUAGGAUGGGGUUGUUUGAGUGGUGGUUUAUUUCUGACUGCUUCAUUUUAUACUUGUAUUUUAAAUAUACAAGUUUUUGUAAACAUUCCUAAAACAAAACAGAUCUGUUUUUAUUUUGAAGAAGAUCGGACAGAUUCUGAUAUAAUGUUUGGAGAACUAAAUUAUACACAGAAUUUUGUCUCUGAAGAGUUAACUCUAUCAUGAAAAUGCACUCAGUGAAAAGCAAACAUCAUGCCACCUUUCCAUACACGGUAUUAUGUGUAUUUGAAUGAACGCAUAUGGAAAAACAUGGCAAUUCUUCUUUUAUGCCUAAAUCCUAUGGAAUUUGCCGGCUCCUGUAUUUAAGUCUGGGCUGUGAUGGUAAACUUGGUUCCUGUCAACUGAGUGUUGUUAUGUCUUUGGCACAUUCCCACAGCCGAACCUCCCGUCUGUAACCUGCACCUGCAGUUCACAGGAUUCAGCUCGGAGAGCUCUGUACUUCCGGGCCACUCAGGUACUUGUUAGUGCAGACUGUAAGUUUCUACCCCACAGUUUCUCCACCAGUUUAGAUACUGCAAACAUUUGGGUUUUGCAGUUUCUGCAAUUUUUGUUUGGGUUCUUUAAAAACAGCUCUUCCCCCACCCCUGGCACACCACCAUCUCUCCAAGGCACUCAUUGUGAGAUGGGAAGCCUGGCGCCUGUCGUUUGUAUUCCAGAUCGAAACUAGCAGAAUUGAGAUUUUCCUCCCUUUUUAGUGCCAUGACAAACAAAAGAGGAUAUGACAUGUAUUUAUUGUUUGGUAAAAUGCAGAAGUAUCAAUUCCAGGAGACGCUGCAAUUCCUUCAUCUUUGCCUUGAGUUGUUUAUGUGAACUAUGGCCCUGUUUGUAGGAGACAGAGAGAAAGUAUGAAUUUGGUGGGAAUGACGGGGGUUGGGGGGUGGGGGGUGGGGAGGAGGAGGUGGUGUGGGAAAACAACUCUCUCUUUUGCCAUGAGGAUCCAAUUCCUGGAAAGAGCACGGUUAAUGGCAAAUAAAAUUUCCUGGUCUUUGGGGCCAAGAUUUGUGUUGUGUGAGUGUGCUUUAUAAGCCUGUCACUGUUAGAUGCAGGCUUAUGCUUUUACGGCUGUCUUUAGCUUUAGCUUUUGUGGUUCUUCCGCCUGUACAGUAUGCUCUUCCAAGGCAACUGUGGCUCAUUGAGAGACCAGGCUAAAGCAGAAUAGAGCAGAUAAACAAAUUCAUAGGAGUCAAUAAUUUAAUUUUUUUAAUUUUUUUUUUUUUGAGAUGGGGCCUUGUUCUGUUGUGGAGGCGGGAGUACAGUGGCAUGAGCACGGUUCACUGCAGCCUUGACCUCUGGGCUCAAGCAAUCCUUACACCUCAGGACCCCACACUCAGCCCCCCGAGUAGUUGGGACUACAGUGGUUUGAGAUAUGUCUUCUUCGUGAUGCUUGUGUGAGAGUAAAGGAGGACUCCAAACAAACAAAUGCAGGAAAUGAAUGUGUAGAGGAAGAAGUCAGGUGAUGCUGGUGUCCUGGGGACCACUCCACGGAAGGAGAAGACACUGGGAAUAGAAGACCUUUGAAAAUCGUGAUGGGCUUAAAGAUCCCAGCGCAGGUCCCACCACUUAUUCGCUCUCACCUGGCAUCUCAAUCUCUGCAUCUGUAAAAAUGAAGAAAAUAAUCCAUCUCCCUGGAUGACUUCAUGAGAUUUUUUGUAGUCAUCAGUGAGGUACUGUACAUAGACGUGCUGUAAGGACGAAAAGUUCUUCACAAUAGGAUGCAUGGGAAAGCAAGCAGGGAGCAGUGGAGGAGGCUGAACCCAGAACGUGGGCUGAGGAUGCUGGGAGGGAACAGGGUUGGGGGCUGAAUCCUAACAGGAGGAAGCUACUGAGCUGCUUCUGUAAGUUGGGCCUGGAUGGAAACCCUGGAAGCAGUAACUCCAAGAAAGAUUCAAAAGUGGGACAAGAAGAGCAAGAACCAGGAAUGGAAAAACUCCAAGGAACAUGAGUGAAGAGCCUCGAAAAAACAGGACACUCACAGUUCAGGAAACUACCAAGGGUCCAAGGAGAGGCCUUGCUUGGCCGUGGUGUGGUCCUGCAACUCCAGGGCAGACCUAGACUCAUGGGAAAGUCCCUGCUUUGUGAUGAGGCUGAAAGAGGAUGAGUGGGGAGUGGCCGGAAGAAGAAAGGGUGUAACCAGAGACCAGUGUCAACAAGGAAUCUGGCUUGGAACGCUUUUGUCUGCAGCCCUCUUUGGAGCGUGACUUGCUCUUUCAGAGGUCUGUAUUUCUCUACCUGGACUACCCUGAGAGCUAACCCCAGUUAUUGGUCUGGAAGCAACGAAUGAAGGCCGGGGCAGAGCUUGAGGAGGGCAACAUCAUUUUGUCACAGUCGCCAUCAAGAAUCUAGUUGCAGACUGGGCGCUGUGGCUCACGCCUGUAAUCCCUGCACUUUGGGAGCCAAGGUGGGUGGAUCACUGGAGCCCAGGAGCUCAAGAGCAGCCUGGGCAACGUGGUGAAAGCCCAUUUCUACAAAAAAAUGCAAAAAUUAGCAGAGUGUGUUGGUGCAUGCCUGUGGUCUCAGCUACUCGGGAGGCUGAGAUGGGACGAUUGCUUGGGCCUGGGAGGUCAAGGCUGCAGUGAGCUGUGAUCACACCACUGCACUCCAGCCUGAGUGACACAGCAAGAACCUGUCUGAGAAAAAAAAAAUCUUGUUUCACCUAGAUCUGAAGAAGAAAACAGAAGCAACAUUCAAAUUAACAUCAGUCAACUGAUGGAAUAUUUUAGAUGAAGUAAGAGAAGCCAAGGCAUGUACCCUCAGGCUCUGGGCUUCUCCCUGCAAGGUUGGGAAGAAAUUUGGAGGAGGCAAAGUGGGAGCAAGUCAGAUGGAAGAGACAUUAUGGGUCAGGAAACCAGUUGCUAUGUCAUGAACUGCUCUAUGAAGAAGCCUGUUUGUCAAGGAUCUGAAGCCUCCUGCCAAUAGCUGCAUGAACGAGUUUGGAAGAUCCAGUUCUACCCUUCAGAUGACUGUAGCUUGACGUCAACCUCAUGAGAGACCCUGAGACAGAACCACAAAGCGAAGUCCCUCCUGGAUCCCUGAUGCUACACAACUAUGUAAUAAAUGUUUGCUGUUUUAACU
This 6009-nucleotide long non-coding RNA is filed under the name Homo sapiens (human). Its description in RNAcentral is "non-protein coding KLF3-AS1:17". Lineage: Eukaryota; Metazoa; Chordata; Mammalia; Primates; Hominidae. The record is from RNAcentral.